Molecule: ribosomal RNA, 484 nt
Filed under: uncultured bacterium
Lineage: Bacteria
Description: partial 16S ribosomal RNA
Rfam family: Bacterial small subunit ribosomal RNA
Source: RNAcentral
AUUGAACGCUGGCGGCAGGCCCAACACAUGCAAGUCGAGCGGUAGAGAGAAGCUUGCUUCUCUUGAGAGCGGCGGACGGGUGAGUAAUGCCUAGGAAUCUGCCUGGUAGUGGGGGAUAACGUUCGGAAACGGACGCUAAUACCGCAUACGUCCUACGGGAGAAAGCAGGGGACCUUCGGGCCUUGCGCUAUCAGAUGAGCCUAGGUCGGAUUAGCUAGUUGGUGGGGUAAUGGCUCACCAAGGCGACGAUCCGUAACUGGUCUGAGAGGAUGAUCAGUCACACUGGAACUGAGACACGGUCCAGACUCCUACGGGAGGCAGCAGUGGGGAAUAUUGGACAAUGGGCGAAAGCCUGAUCCAGCCAUGCCGCGUGUGUGAAGAAGGUCUUCGGAUUGUAAAGCACUUUAAGUUGGGAGGAAGGGUUGUAGAUUAAUACUCUGCAAUUUUGACGUUACCGACAGAAUAAGCACCGGCUAACUCUGUG